GAUGAACGCUGGCGGCGUGCCUAAUACAUGCAAGUCGAGCGAACAGACGAGGAGCUUUCUCCUCUGACGUUAGCGGCGGACGGGUGAGUAACACGUGGAUAACCUACCUAUAAUACUGGGAUAACUUCGGGAAACUGGAGCUAAUACCGGAUAAUAUAUUGAACCGCAUUGUUCAAUAGUGAAAGACGGUUUUGCUGUCACUUAUAGAUGGAUCCGCGCCGCAUUAGCUAGUUGGUAAGGUAACGGCUUACCAAGGCAACGAUGCGUAGCCGACCUGAGAGGGUGAUCGGCCACACUGGAACUGAGACACGGUCCAGACUCCUCCGGGAGGCAGCAGUAGGGAAUCUUCCGCAAUGGGCGAAAGCCUGAAGGAGCAACGCCGCGUGAGUGAUGAAGGUCUUCGGAUCGUAAAACUCUGUUAUUAGGGAAGAACAAAUGUGUAAGUAAAUAUGCACGUCUGGACGGCCCCUAAUCAGAAAGCCACGCCUAAAUACGUG
RNAcentral lists this ribosomal RNA (497 nucleotides) under uncultured bacterium. Its description in RNAcentral is "partial 16S ribosomal RNA". It matches the Rfam family "Bacterial small subunit ribosomal RNA", at positions 28 to 507 of the family's 1533-position model. The record is from RNAcentral.